CGUUGAUUAUGACCGGUCACAUCAUGUCCGUCAGUCCUUACAUGCGGUCCCACCCCAUUCUCAGGGCAAUUGGAUAAUCAAGGGUUAGAGAAAAAAAUAUAUAUAUGCUCAUGGAAUCACCUCCUAAAAUGCCAAUCCAGCAGCCUUCCGAGUUUAUCCACAUAUCAAGAAUUCAAAGUACCAGUUGGGACUCCACAGUCUGCUGCUCACCAAUUUCUCCAUGCCAGUCCUAGCUACCUUCACUUUAUUGUGCAUUUUAAUAGCAAUAGAAGUUUCACAUAUUUGGCCAAAUUCAUAUAAUUGAAAUGCAUGUGAAUUUAUUAAUAUCUGCGGAGUACUAAUGUUUUCUUUUGAAUCUGAAAAAUUUUAGAUUCUUGAAAGCAAAACAAAUACUAGUGGAUUUAAUUUAAUGAAAAAGAGGUGAUUGGUUUUUGACGUGAUGGGUGAAAAUUACCAUCUUCUAAAUUCAACCCCAUUAAAAAUUCCCUAGCUGGUUACAGUUAGUUUCAGAUGCUCAAUUUUUCAUGAAAGGGAAUUACCCACUACAAAGAGAAAUCCAGACAGCUGUUAAUGGCUGAAAUUGUGGUACAGAUGGCAAUGCAUGAGAAACAGUAACGAAGCAUUAUUGACUUAGCAUACAUUUACUAAGGAAGUUAAUUAAAGGGGCCCCGAGAAUUACUGUAGUAGCAGGGACAGACAGAUAAAAGAGAGAGCAAAGAGUAGCAGACCUGGUUGCUGCAUGGUCACAGCUAUCAACUGAGACCCAAAAAGAAAGAAGAAAAACACUGGGGAAUAAAUUUUUCUGCUCAAGAGAAAAGCCUCACUGUUUUUAUCCCCAAACUUGUGCGGGUGCUAUAGGUAGUAGAGCUGUUUUCUUGUAAAAGGAUAAAAGGGUAAAGACAUAAGUAUUUUACAGGGGCAGCACUGGUGUGAAUGGAAUCCAAAGGCAGAGAGAGAGAAAUGGAAGCAUAUGGGAUGGUGGGCAGGGGUGGUGGUGUUGCGCUGUGUAAACGUGAUUCGUUGAAAGCAAUCUUUUUCAUCUGAGCUGCAAUUUCCGCGCGUGAAGGGAUUGGUGGAAGCUGGUUUUUCUUAUCAGAAAAACAGAAAGCCUCCUUAAAGUCAUAAUAUUUGCAUAUGCAUCUUUAUCCACUUCACACGAUCAGGCCUGUGCUUCUCUCUCUCUCUCUCUCUUUCAUGCAUCUUAUUAAGUUAAUAGUUUAUUUCUUUCUAUUAUAUCUCUCCAUAUUCCUUAUUAAUUCUUCCAUAUUUUAUUCUGUUCCUAUUCUAAAAUUUUAUUUUUAUCCUAGCUAACUUUGUCUGUUCAGGUGUAACUUGUAAGUAAGCCUAUGGUUACACAAAUCUUUUUGCAUCUGGAUGUUUCGUCGUAUAUAAUUAUUUUCCUUUCCAUUUUUGUUGUGUUUGUAGUUCUGCCAGUUUACCUUUGGGGUUAAGACAUUGCAUGAUCAGGUUAUAAUUUCCUGCUUGCUCAACCAUCCUGGAAGAUUGGACAUAUAAAAAAGUCAGGAGUGAGCACCUAAUAAUGCAUCUAUAGUCAGUUAGCUUAUGCAAAGACAGGCUUUCGAUCAUAAGCUUUUAGCUUAUACAAAUUGUUAAUUCAAUUUACAAGUAGCUAGCUAGCUAUGCUUUGACACAGCACUGACUUUCCAACAAUCAUUAGCAUGCAUUAUUUCUGUACAAGAAAAUUUACUAACGAGAAAGCUGGUGUUUUGAAAGGUAUCAGGUACGCAGAUGAUCAGAUGGUUUGAUUGCUUCCAUCCCUAGGCCAUAAUGAUGAGAUUGGUUUUGAAGCUUCAUAAUUCUCUAACCAGAAACAUGCUAAAUUUGCUCCCUAUAUAGACAACAAUUUACGUGGAUGGACAAACAGUGUCAUAUGUCAGUUCCAAAUUUAAAAUGAGCAGUAAUAAUAUCUCUUCUCUGGGCUUUAUUGGUGCCUGAAAGCUCUGAUAAAAGGCGCAGAAGCCAUGCCUCUGGCUCUGCUGCCACCUCCAAUUGGAGUAAGAAGAUUGAAGUAAAAAGAAAAAGAUGGUUUAGUGAAAAUGGCAGCAGCAAGAUUGAGGAAUAGUUUUGUAAGGGGUAAAGAAAAUGAGGAUGGUAUGGAGCAUUCCUGUCUUUAACUUGCUGUAGAAUGCCCUUCCAAAAGGUCCAAGUUCUCUGUUUCAUGAACAGACUCAGAUCAUGUCCAACAAUUUGUUUUAAACAGAAAUAUUG
Molecule: small RNA, 2229 nt
Filed under: Theobroma cacao (cacao)
Lineage: Eukaryota; Viridiplantae; Streptophyta; Magnoliopsida; Malvales; Malvaceae
Description: sRNA Tc09v2_g005830
Source: RNAcentral